GUGGGGAAUAUUGGUCAAUGGACGAGAGUCUGAACCAGCCAAGUAGCGUGCAGGAUGACGGCCCUAUGGGUUGUAAACUGCUUUUAUACAGGGAUAAAGUGCACUACGUGUAGUGUUUUGUAGGUACUGUAUGAAUAAGGACCGGCUAAUUCCGUGCCAGCAGCCGCGGUAAUACGGAAGGUCCGGGCGUUAUCCGGAUUUAUUGGGUUUAAAGGGAGCGCAGGCUGAUGAUUAAGCGUGACGUGAAAUGUAGCCGCUCAACGGCUGAACUGCGUCGCGAACUGGUUAUCUUGAGUGAGUUCGAUGUUGGCGGAAUUCGUGGUGUAGCGGUGAAAUGCUUAGAUAUCACGAAGAACUCCGAUUGCGAAGGCAGCCAACAAGGCCUUUACUGACGCUAAAGCUCGAAGGUGCGGGUAUCGAACAGG
Molecule: ribosomal RNA, 425 nt
Filed under: uncultured rumen bacterium
Lineage: Bacteria
Description: bacterial SSU rRNA
Rfam family: Bacterial small subunit ribosomal RNA
Source: RNAcentral